GACGAACGCUGGCGGCGUGCUUAACACAUGCAAGUCGAACGGAAAGGCCCUUCGGGGUCCUCGAGUGGCGAACGGGUGAGUAACACGUGGGUGAUCUGCCCUGCACUUUGGGAUAAGCCUGGGAAACUGGGUCUAAUACCGAAUAUGAUCAUCGGCUUCAUGGUCGGUGGUGGAAAGCUUUUGCGGUGUGGGAUGGGCCCGCGGCCUAUCAGCUUGUUGGUGGGGUAAUGGCCUACCAAGGCGACGACGGGUAGCCGGCCUGAGAGGGUGACCGGCCACACUGGGCCUGAGAUACGGCCCAGACUCCUACGGGAGGCAGCAGUGGGGAAUAUUGCACAAUGGGCGCAAGCCUGAUGCAGCGACGCCGCGUGAGGGAUGACGGCCUUCGGGUUGUAAACCUCUUUCAGCACAGACGAAGCGCAAGUGACGGUAUGUGCAGAAGAAGGACCGGCCAACUACGUG
This 462-nucleotide ribosomal RNA is filed under the name uncultured bacterium. Its description in RNAcentral is "partial 16S ribosomal RNA". It matches the Rfam family "Bacterial small subunit ribosomal RNA", at positions 28 to 507 of the family's 1533-position model. The record is from RNAcentral.